CGAGAGAUAGAGAAAGAGAGAGUGAGAGAGAGUGUGUGUGUGUACUGUGAAAUCUUUGAAAUAGUUCCUAAGAAGUGGUUUGAGAAGGGAGCAGAAUUCUGAGCCAUUGACUUACCAGAAAAUCACAGAGCUCAGAUCCAAAUCCCCCCAAAGCAUGGCUUGAACAUGGUAGUCAUCUGGGAUUGUUGAAGGGGCAUACUGGGCUAACAUGUUUCAAAAGAUCUCAUCUGGGUGAGGAAUUUUCUUUUCUCCGUACAUAGAAUAAAGCUUGACUUUAGAUUUUUUCAACUUUUGUGUGCAGUUAUUUUGAACCUCUUGUGUUUAUGAAAUAAAAUUUCACAUAAAAUAUAUUUUCUGAAACCAUUUAUUUAUGUUGGAAAAUGCUUACUAGAGAUACAAGUGCUGUCACUUGUUCCCUGGUCUUACACAGUAAUUCAACAGAAUUGCUUGUUUGGGGAUUCUUUCCUUUGUUUCCACUCUGGUGGAGGAAGGCACCAGAGAGUGAAAUCCUGUUGUCUGAUUGAUGAGAUUUUGUUCAGGCUGUGACAGUGCAUAACUCCUCUCAUUGCCCUAUCUGUUGACCCCCAGAGAGGCUGAGAAUAGCACAACCUUGUGACAUAAAAAGUUCUUCAUUUUUUUUUUUUUACUAUCACUGUUUACAACAAUAGGAACCAUCAGCAGCCAUGAUAGUGGAACAUGGAAUGUAUUUUUAAGCCAGAAAGUAAAGAGAAAAUUGGUGAGUUCAGGUUGCUUAAUGGGGCUAACAAAGCAAAUGCCAUUAGACUUGGCAGUUAUAGAAAACAUACUCUGUUUUCCCAAACCAAAAACUGAGCUUAUAACUAUAGCCCAUAAUCACCUUUUCAACAUUACUCACUGAUUGCAAGGGGAACCAGAGCAGACUUAGCUUGUUUAGCUUAAUGCUGUUCAACUUCCAUACUGGGAAAAAAUUGGAAGUUCAUUUUUCACUGAUGGACAUGAUGGCUUUUCUUUCUUUCUGAAGGACAGAGCAUUCAAGCACAAGUUAUAGGUUACCAACUGAAAAAUGUAAUGUUAGGCUUUAAGAAAACUUAAAAGUAAGUGAAAAGAUGAUAAUCUGAAUUAGUAGUUAUUCUUGUCUUUUUCAGGAAGACUAAUUCUGUAAGCAGUCUGGACUAAAUUGCAGACUUUAAAUGAUACUUUUACUAAAGGGGACCAGUAGAGCAGAAUUUUGGUUUAAUGAAUUUUCCCAUUUGUUUUAUAAAGUGAAUUAAGACAUGGAGUGGCACAAAUUUAGGGAUGAGGUAUUUUCUUGAUGGAGAAAAAAAUAAAGCCAUGUUUCCCCUUUGUCUGUUGUUUAGGUAUUUCUUAGUCUUUAUAAAAUCAUAAAGAUGUUAUUUGAAUUGUUUGAUUAAUUUAUUAAAGACAGAUUGUAUGUUUAACUUCAAAAUGUGAGUUAAAUCUGUUGGCUUCUUCACUAUUUUCUGAAUCAUAUCUGGUUAAUUAAAGACUAUAUAAGGUUGUUAUUUGAUAGGUUUUAAAACUAUAGACUAAUUAACCAUGAAAAAAAAGUGUAAUGGAAAACAAACUUUAAAGCAAGAGUCAAGAAAUACUAGGAGAAACUUGACCACUUUUUACUGAUGUUAAGUCCUAUCAUAAAGUUUAUAAAUUCUCAAGGGGAGUUUGUUUUGCAGAGAAUGUAUUAAGGAAAGUUCGAAGAUGACGAUUAUCAUUAUUAUUCUUACUAGUGCAUAGUUGGUUCAUAUCAGAACAAAUAAAUCUAGGGAGACCACUGGAAAACCCUGCUCAUUUUGAAUGUUACCACAUAGCUGAGACAAGCUCAGAACUUUAGCAGAGUUCAGCAGGAGGCUGAGACUGAAUGUGAUCCUACUAUAGCUAUUAGUGUGUUUGUUUGGCCCAUACUUUAUAUUAAAACAUAAGGUUCAUUUGAAUUCAUACAACAGCUUAUUGAACAAGACAAUCUGCUAUUUGAUGGAAAUCCCAUGUUUCAUGAUUUGUGACUGAAGUUUGGAGCCAAGUCUUUCUCUUGAGUCAUUAAUUUUGUAAAACAGAGAUCUGAAGUCCUUUAGGAAAAAUGUACCCAAGAUCAUUUAAGCAGUUGUGGCUUCCUGAGGAGUAGAAAAACCAAAUUAGUCUAUGUGGAAAUCACAGAAUUUCCCUUGUCACCAUCCAGUUUUCUUCCACUCCUCAAGCUAAAGAAAUGAACAGAAAACCUAAGUAGAAUGUAAAUGAAUAAACAGAUUUAUUCAUUUCAUACUGUAGGUAGACUUUCUUGAGCCCAGCUUAGAUAAAAUUCUUUUUAUGUAUGACCUUUCCUGGACCAUAGCACUUAUUAAGUAAAUAUCUUUUUGUCUCUCUUUUUUAGACAAUGAGCUAAAUGAGGGUAGCAACUGUGUUUUAGUCACCAUUCAUGUGUUCUUUCUUGUUCUGUUAAUUAAUAGAACAGG
Mustela erminea (ermine) is the source of this 2444-nucleotide long non-coding RNA. RefSeq lists it as uncharacterized. NCBI's taxonomy places the organism in Eukaryota, Metazoa, Chordata, Mammalia, Carnivora, Mustelidae. The record is from RefSeq and is a predicted model, not a curated record. The transcript has 3 exons.